This 583-nucleotide ribosomal RNA is filed under the name Aspergillus sp. BAB-5098. Its description in RNAcentral is "eukaryotic LSU rRNA". The stretch from base 200 to 353 matches the Rfam family "5.8S ribosomal RNA". The record is from RNAcentral. Lineage: Eukaryota; Fungi; Ascomycota; Eurotiomycetes; Eurotiales; Aspergillaceae.
CUGCGGAAGGAUCAUUACCGAGUGUAGGGUUCCUAGCGAGCCCAACCUCCCACCCGUGUUUACUGUACCUUAGUUGCUUCGGCGGGCCCGCCAUUGAUGGGCGCCGGGGGCUCUCAGCCCCGGGCCCGCGCCCGCCGGAGACACCACGAACUCUGUCUGAUCUAGUGAAGUCUGAGUUGAUUGUAUCGCAAUCAGUUAAAACUUUCAACAAUGGAUCUCUUGGUUCCGGCAUCGAUGAAGAACGCAGCGAAAUGCGAUAACUAGUGUGAAUUGCAGAAUUCCGUGAAUCAUCGAGUCUUUGAACGCACAUUGCGCCCCCUGGUAUUCCGGGGGGCAUGCCUGUCCGAGCGUCAUUGCUGCCCAUCAAGCACGGCUUGUGUGUUGGGUCGUCGUCCCCUCUCCGGGGGGGACGGGCCCCAAAGGCAGCGGCGGCACCGCGUCCGAUCCUCGAGCGUAUGGGGCUUUGUCACCCGCUNCUGUAGGCCCGGCCGGCGCUUGCCGAACGCAAAUCAAUCUUUUUCCAGGUUGACCUCGGAUCAGGUAGGGAUACCCGCUGAACUUAAGCAUAUCAAUAAGCGGAGGA